RNAcentral lists this ribosomal RNA (460 nucleotides) under uncultured bacterium. Its description in RNAcentral is "partial 16S ribosomal RNA". It matches the Rfam family "Bacterial small subunit ribosomal RNA", at positions 338 to 795 of the family's 1533-position model. The record is from RNAcentral.
CCUACGGGGGGCAGCAGUGAGGAAUAUUGGUCAAUGGACGAGAGUCUGAACCAGCCAAGUAGCGUGAAGGAUGACUGCCCUAUGGGUUGUAAACUUCUUUUAUAUGGGAAUAAAAUGUUCCACGUGUGGGAUUUUGUAUGUACCAUAUGAAUAAGGAUCGGCUAACUCCGUGCCAGCAGCCGCGGUAAUACGGAGGAUCCGAGCGUUAUCCGGAUUUAUUGGGUUUAAAGGGAGCGUAGGUGGAUUGUUAAGUCAGUUGUGAAAGUUUGCGGCUCAACCGUAAAAUUGCAGUUGAAACUGGCAGUCUUGAGUACAGUAGAGGUGGGCGGAAUUCGUGGUGUAGCGGUGAAAUGCUUAGAUAUCACGAAGAACUCCGAUUGCGUAGGCAGUUCACUGGACUGCAACUGACACUGAGGCUCGAAAGUGUGGGUAUCAAACAGGAUUAGAUACCCCAGUAGUC